CGACGUGAGGAACCUGCCUCAAAGAGGGGGACAACAGUUGGAAACGACUGCUAAUACCGCAUAAGCCCACGGCUCGGCAUCGAGCAGAGGGAAAAGGAGCAAUCCGCUUUGAGAUGGCCUCGCGUCCGAUUAGCUAGUAGGUGAGGUAACGGCUCACCUAGGCGACGAUACACAGCCGACCUGAGAGGGUGAUCGGCCACACUGGGACUGAGACACGGCCCAG
RNAcentral lists this ribosomal RNA (223 nucleotides) under uncultured bacterium. RNAcentral's name for it is "partial 16S ribosomal RNA". It matches the Rfam family "Bacterial small subunit ribosomal RNA", at positions 113 to 334 of the family's 1533-position model. The record is from RNAcentral.